RNAcentral lists this ribosomal RNA (1084 nucleotides) under Umbelopsis isabellina. RNAcentral's name for it is "SSU rRNA". It matches the Rfam family "Eukaryotic small subunit ribosomal RNA", at positions 71 to 1153 of the family's 1831-position model. Lineage: Eukaryota; Fungi; Mucoromycota; Umbelopsidomycetes; Umbelopsidales; Umbelopsidaceae. The record is from RNAcentral.
AAUUUAUACAGUGAAACUGCGAAUGGCUCAUUAAAUCAGUUAUAAUUUAUUUGAUAUUCACUUACUACUUGGAUAACCGUGGUAAUUCUAGAGCUAAUACAUGCGUACAUAACCUCGACUUCUGGAAGAGGUGCACUUAUUAGAUAAAAAGCCAACGCGGGCAACCGCUUGUAUGGUGAUUCAUAAUAAUUAAGCGAAUCGCAUGGCCUUGUGCCGGCGAUGAUGCAUUCAAAUUUCUGCCCUAUCAAGUUUCGAUGGUAGGUUAGUGGCCUACCAUGCUUUUAACGGGUAACGGGGAAUUAGGGUUCGAUUCCGGAGAGGGAGCCUGAGAAACGGCUACCACAUCCAAGGAAGGCAGCAGGCGCGCAAAUUACCCAAUCCCGACACGGGGAGGUAGUGACAAUAAAUAACAAUACAGGGCCUUUACGGGUCUUGUAAUUGGAAUGAGUACAAUUUAAAUCCCUUAACGAGGAACAAUUGGAGGGCAAGUCUGGUGCCAGCAGCCGCGGUAAUUCCAGCUCCAAUAGCGUAUAUUAAAGUUGUUGCAGUUAAAAAGCUCGUAGUUGAAUUUUGGCCUUGGGUGGUUUGGUUUGGCCUUCAUUGGUCAAUGCCUUUUCCGCCUAGGUCUUACCUUCUGGGUUAGCUAGUGUCACUUCGGUGGCGCUAGUGAACCAGAACUUUUACUUUGAAAAAAUUGGAGUGUUUAAAGCAGGCUUUCAAGCUUGAACAUAUUAGCAUGGAAUAAUGAAAUAGGACUUUGGCCUUAUUUCGUUGGUUUCUAAAGCCAAAGUAAUGAUGAAUAGGGAUAGUUGGGGACAUUAGUAUUCAAUUGUCAGAGGUGAAAUUCUUGGAUUUAUUGAAGACUAACUUCUGCGAAAGCAUUUGUCAAGGAUGUUUUCAUUAAUCAAGAACGAAAGUUAGGGGAUCGAAGACGAUCAGAUACCGUCGUAGUCUUAACCAUAAACUAUGCCGACUAAGGAUCGGAUGGUGUUAUAUUUUAUAUUGACCCAUUCGGCAUUUCAGCGAAAGCCAAGUUUUUGGGUUCCGGGGGGAGUAUGGUCGCAAGGCUGAAACUUAAAGGAAU